UGUCCUUCUUUAAUUGAAUUCACUGGAUAC
This 30-nucleotide non-coding RNA is filed under the name Rattus norvegicus (Norway rat). Lineage: Eukaryota; Metazoa; Chordata; Mammalia; Rodentia; Muridae. The record is from RNAcentral.